GUGCCAGCAGCCGCGGUAAUACAGAGGUCCCAAGCGUUGUUCGGAUUCACUGGGCGUAAAGGGUGCGCAGGUGGGUUUGCAAGUUCGAUGUGAAAGCCCCGGGCUUAACCCGGGAAUGGCAUUGGAUACUGCAGAUCUGGAGGAUCGGAGGGGGGACUGGAAUUCUUGGUGUAGCAGUGAAAUGCGUAGAUAUCAAGAGGAACACCAGUGGCGAAGGCGAGUCCCUGGACGAUACCUGACACUGAGGCACGAAAGCUAGGGGAGCAAACAGGAUUAGAAACCCUCGUAGUCC
This 292-nucleotide ribosomal RNA is filed under the name uncultured bacterium. RNAcentral describes it as "partial 16S ribosomal RNA". It matches the Rfam family "Bacterial small subunit ribosomal RNA", at positions 505 to 796 of the family's 1533-position model. The record is from RNAcentral.